This is a long non-coding RNA of Conger conger (European conger), 1124 nucleotides long. RefSeq lists it as uncharacterized. Lineage: Eukaryota; Metazoa; Chordata; Actinopteri; Anguilliformes; Congridae. The transcript has 3 exons. The record is from RefSeq and is a predicted model, not a curated record.
GUUGCAUGAAUAAACAUGCAACUUCUUUUAAAGUUUGUUUAGCAAAUUAUUCGAUGAAGACAUAUUUAUGGAACCAAAUAUCCCACCUGGUUAGGAAGCUAUGGCUGUUUUCUGACUAAUGUUGAUGUUUAUUUCGUAAUCCAUCCAGCCAUUUUAAAGAAAAUUAUAUUUUUGCUAUACCAAAGCACAUGCUAUCUUGAACUACUUCUUAUUGUUGCGUAAAUGCAUUGCUAGGCCAAUUUCAGUGAUGUAAAACAUGGCAAGCUUCUUGUGUGGGGUUUCCUUCCCUUUCCGACAAAGUGUAAUGUGUCAUAUUUAGGUGGCGGACAGUUUAGGAAUAUCGAUGUGUGAAUGAAUAUACAGACAUGCAUAAUCACAGAAUUUGGACUUGCUAUAAAUAAACCUGUAAUUGUUGGCUCUGGUUAACCUAAUUAUGAAAUCAAAUUAAAUUUUUAAUGUGAUGCAGAUUAGUUAGAAAGCAUUAUGGAGAGUAAUCUUGUUUGGCUUGUUUGGCCUAAACAAACCUAAAUAAACUGCCUGGUCCUGUUCGAAGCUUGGUGACUCACCUGCGGAUGUUCUUCACAUCUUUCUGGUUGUUGAAGGUUCGGAGUGGGGACCGCUGGUUGACCAGAUGGAUGGGUGGUUCCUUGGCCAGGUGGUUGGUGUCAGAGGUCAUUAGAGAAGCCCUGAAGUGGAUACGGGAAGGCUGCAUCAUGGCUGUGCCUGCAGCUCCAGCACCACGCUCUCCAGCUCCUGCUUGUGCAGGUGGCUCUGGCCCUGGAGCUCCUUCAGCUGCAAGCCCAGGCUCCUCUUCUCUGUCUCCAGCCCCUUCAGCUGGGACUCCCGCAGCUGAACCAGCUCCUCCAGCUCUCCUCGCGGGGGACCAGGGGGAGGAAGGGAGGUUCAGAGGUGCUGUCAUCGCUGGUGCUGCUGCCCACACUACACCGGUCUUCUUCAUCACUCAGGUACUCGUAGCUGCACAGAAACACCGGAGAAAUCUUGAGCAGCGCCAAGGGGGCCUCUCAUGUAAGAAAAUAUCUCAAAUAUCUAAGAAAGAAGCCUGCACCUAGUAUGGUGCCCUCACCUCUGUGUGAACUUCAGAUAGGGUGUGUAGUCAAUCAUCG